AUACGGAGGGUCCAAGCGUUAUCCGGAUUCAUUGGGUCUAAAGGGUGCGCAGGCGGGCUUGUAAGUCAGUGGUGAAAUACUGCCGCUUAACGGUAGAACUGCCAUUGAUACUGCAAGUCUUGAAUAUGGUUGAGGUAGGCGGAAUGUGUUGUGUAGCGGUGAAAUGCAUAGAUAUGACACAGAACGCCAAUUGCGAAGGCAGCUUACUAAGCCAUUAUUGACGCUGAGGCACGAAAGCGUGGGGAGCGAACAGCAUUAGAUACCCCAGUAGUCC
Molecule: ribosomal RNA, 274 nt
Filed under: uncultured bacterium
Lineage: Bacteria
Description: partial 16S ribosomal RNA
Rfam family: Bacterial small subunit ribosomal RNA
Source: RNAcentral